GGAGCUAGGAUUACGUUUAGACUUUACGGUUUAGGAGCUAGGGUUACGUUUAGGCAUUACGGUUUAGGAGCUAGGGUUAUGUUUAGGCAUUACAGUUAAUAGUUAGGUACUUAAUUUUUUUUUUCUCCUGAACUUAACUUUAUGAUAAUAAAUUACCAGCCGUUACUUUUACAGUAAUACCUAUGUGUUUGACAUUCAGAGCUCAACCAUCCAAUCCCAAAGACAGAGCCAGAUGGUCAUGCGUUAUCUUCACCUCCCUCUACAGGUGUUGAGGCUGUCCUCCUCACCUCACACACUCUCCCCGCCAAGGUUACACUCUGGCCAUCUGUAUGGAGCCUCUUUAGGGUAACCAUCCCUCGUUGUCUGUUUGAGACACUAUAGACAGUAUGGUGCCAUUUUAGACCAACAAAGAACAAUUGCUAUGGUCUCAUCCUCUUAACACUAUGGCAGGAAAACCUUCCCAGUGGCUGCCUUACAACUCUGGUGUCCGACAGCCAUCAGAGAUCCAGGGCGGGAGGAUUUCAUGGCUAACUUAGGAUAUGCAGGAGAAAUGUUGUGUUGCAGCAAAGCUGAGUGAGUUCUGUUUGGAGUGUAACUGCCUUCAGGACUCAGGAUUCA
Esox lucius (northern pike) is the source of this 618-nucleotide long non-coding RNA. Lineage: Eukaryota; Metazoa; Chordata; Actinopteri; Esociformes; Esocidae. The record is from Ensembl.